UGCAUUUUAAUCAGCCUGUUAUCAUUAUACUCCCGUUCAUGGAAUCUUCAUGCGAUAAUGGACAUUAUAAUGCAAGAACUGACUAAUAACAAAAUGCUUUUGAAGUGCGACAUUUGGUUUGGAAAAGUUCAUAAGCAUAAGGAGAAGUAAGUAGGUUUGGGCUAGGCUGUAUAUUUACCCAUGUUUUAAAUGUUUAUGGGAACCUCUAACAUUUUAAAAAUAAAUCAUCACUUAUAAAACGAGUUUACUCUUGGAGAAAAACAUUCUUGUAAUAGGCACAAAAAUUAUCCAGACAGUAGUGUAAACCAAGCCAGGCAUAGCAGCAGACAGAAAAAUGCAUUCAACCAGUAGGAUCAUGGAUUUGUUUGAUUCAGAUAAUUGAAAGUGUUUCAUACUAUUAUUGCAACUUGAAGGCUUGUUUAACUGUCUAACUGUCAGUCACUUUGG
Molecule: long non-coding RNA, 447 nt
Filed under: Bos taurus (domestic cattle)
Lineage: Eukaryota; Metazoa; Chordata; Mammalia; Artiodactyla; Bovidae
Description: long non-coding RNA NONBTAT014841
Source: RNAcentral